This 505-nucleotide ribosomal RNA is filed under the name uncultured bacterium. RNAcentral describes it as "partial 16S ribosomal RNA". It matches the Rfam family "Bacterial small subunit ribosomal RNA", at positions 28 to 507 of the family's 1533-position model. The record is from RNAcentral.
GACGAACGCUGGCGGCGUGCCUAAUACAUGCAAGUAGAACGCACAGUUUAUACCGUAGCUUGCUACACCAUAAACUGUGAGUUGCGAACGGGUGAGUAACGCGUAGGUAACCUGCCUGGUAGCGGGGGAUAACUAUUGGAAACGAUAGCUAAUACCGCAUAAUAUUAAUUAUUGCAUGAUAAUUGAUUGAAAGAUGCAAUUGCAUCACUACCAGAUGGACCUGCGUUGUAUUAGCUAGUAGGUGAGGUAACGGCUCACCUAGGCGACGAUACAUAGCCGACCUGAGAGGGUGAUCGGCCACACUGGGACUGAGACACGGCCCAGACUCCUACGGGAGGCAGCAGUAGGGAAUCUUCGGCAAUGGACGAAAGUCUGACCGAGCAACGCCGCGUGAGUGAAGAAGGUUUUCGGAUCGUAAAGCUCUGCUGUAAGAGAAGAACGGGUGUGAGAGUGGAAAGUUCACACUGUGACGGUAUCUUACCAGAAAGAGACGGCUAACUACGUG